UAUGGACGCAGUCUGAACCAGCCAUGCCGCGUGCAGGAAGACAGCUCUNUGAGUUGUAAACUGCUUUUGUACUAGGGUAAACGCUCCUACGUGUAGGAGUCUGAAAGUAUAGUACGAAUAAGGAUCGGCUAACUCCGUGCCAGCAGCCGCGGUAAUACGGAGGAUCCAAGCGUUAUCCGGAUUUAUUGGGUUUAAAGGGUGCGUAGGCGGCCUUUUAAGUCAGCGGUGAAAGUCUGUGGCUCAACCAUAGAAUUGCCGUUGAAACUGGGGGGCUUGAGUAUGUUUGAGGCAGGCGGAAUGCGUGGUGUAGCGGUGAAAUGCAUAGAUAUCACGCAGAACCCCGAUUGCGAAGGCAGCCUGCCAAGCCAUUACUGACGCUGAUGCACGAAAGCGUGGGGAUCAAACAGGAUUAGAUACCCUGGUAGUCCAAGGGCGAAUUC
RNAcentral lists this ribosomal RNA (440 nucleotides) under uncultured bacterium. RNAcentral's name for it is "SSU rRNA". It matches the Rfam family "Bacterial small subunit ribosomal RNA", at positions 370 to 808 of the family's 1533-position model. The record is from RNAcentral.